AAUUUUUUAAAAAAUUAUUUUUAUAAAAUUAUUUAUUUUUACUAUUUAAAAUAAUAUUUAAUCAUUUAUAUUUUUAUUAAUUUAAAAAUUUUAUUUAUUUAUAUUUUUAGUAUUGAAAAAGAAAUUAAUUAAAUUAAUAAAAAAAAAAAUUUUUUAUUUUUACCUUUUGUAUCAGGGUUUAUUAAAAUUUUUAAAGUAUUUUUUUUUCUCGAAUUAAAUUGAAUUAAUUAAAUAUAAAUAUUAAUAUGUAAUUAUUAUAAAAAAUAUUUAAUUUGUAAAAAAAUUUUAUUCAUAAUUUAAUAUAUCUAGUUAUUUUAUAAUUAAAUUUAAUUUAUUUAAUUUUUUUUUUAUUAUUAUUUAUUAAUGAUAAAAAUAUUUUUAACAAAAAAUCUAAGGGAUUAGCUUUAGAUUUUUUAAAAUAUUUAAAUUUUAUUUUUUAAAUUUAAAUAAAAAUAAAAAUUUUUAUUUUUAAUUAAUUUAUAAUUAUUAAAAAAUUUAAAUUUUUAAAAUUUAAUAAAUAAUAUAAAAAUAAUUUUAUAUUUAUAAAAUAAAAAUUUUUAAUUUUUUUAAAUUUUUUAUUAUAAUAAAAUUAGUAAAUAAUUUUUUUAAAAAAUUUAAUAUUUUUAAAUAAAUUUUAAAUGAAUUAGGCAAUAAUUUAUUAUUCAAAUGUUUAAUAAAAACAUUGUUUAUUGAAUAAAAAUAAUAAAUAAUUUCUGCUCAAUGAAAAUUUAAAUAGCUGCAAUUUUUGUACUAAGGUAGCAUAAUCAUUUGUCUUUUUAAUAAGGUCUAGAAUAAAUGAAAUAAUGAAAUAAUAACUUUAUAAUAAAUUUUAGAUUGAAUUUUAUAAUUAAGUUAAAAAUCUUAAUUAUUUUAAUUAGACGAGAAGACCCUAUAGAAUUUUAUAUAUUAAAUUUAUAAAUUUAUUAAUUUAAAUUUUUUUUUUUAUUUAUAUAUUUAAUUGGGGUUAUUUUAAAAUUUAAAUAAAUUUUAAUAUAUUUAAAUAUAAAUUUAUAGAAAUUAAAUAUUAAUAUUAAUAAAAUAAAUAAAUUACCUUAGGGAUAACAGCGUAAAAAUUUUAAGGCGAUCUUAGCUUAAAAAUUAUUUGCGACCUCGAUGUUGAAUUAAGAUAAAUUAUUGGUGUAGAAACUUUUAAAUUAAGUCUGUUCGACUUUUAAAAUCUUACAUGAUUUGAGUUUAGAUCGGUGUGAGCCAGAUCGGAUUCUAUCUAUUAAAAUAUAAAUUAAUUUUGUACGAAAGGACUUUUUAAUUUUAAUAAUUAAUUUUUAAAUUAAUAUUAGAAUAAAAUUA
Molecule: ribosomal RNA, 1308 nt
Filed under: Ooencyrtus plautus
Lineage: Eukaryota; Metazoa; Arthropoda; Insecta; Hymenoptera; Encyrtidae
Description: 16S ribosomal RNA
Source: RNAcentral